AAGUGCUAUCUUGUGCGGCAUGCACACAUUAUUCCUGAAGCUUCUGACAAGGAAACAACAACUAUUAAAGUGCAAGUUUAAAACUGACAAAAGGGCUUGGCUAGUGCUCUUCAGACAGAAGUUAUUCCUUCUUCUACUAGAGCUAAACUAAACAGUAUACAGAUCACAGUAUCACAAGAACUUCCACAAGACAUGGAAAAUGGUUUUUAAGAAAAUCCAACUGAUAUGACCUUUGAAAUCACCAAGCUAUGAAUUUUAAAUCUACAUUAUUCUGUAUUUUCAAGCACAA
This is a long non-coding RNA of Physella acuta, 289 nucleotides long. RefSeq lists it as uncharacterized. NCBI's taxonomy places the organism in Eukaryota, Metazoa, Mollusca, Gastropoda, Physidae. The record is from RefSeq and is a predicted model, not a curated record.